This 460-nucleotide ribosomal RNA is filed under the name uncultured bacterium. Its description in RNAcentral is "SSU rRNA". It matches the Rfam family "Bacterial small subunit ribosomal RNA", at positions 26 to 518 of the family's 1533-position model. The record is from RNAcentral.
AGAAUCAACGCUGGCGGCGUGCCUAACACAUGCAAGUCGAACGAGAAAGUGGAGCAAUCCAUUAGUAAAGUGGCGCACGGGUGAGUAACACGUGACUAACCUACCCUUGAGUGGGGGAUAACCUAGAGAAAUCUGGGCUAAUACCGCAUAAUACCUUCGGGUCAAAGGAGCAAUUCGCUUAAGGAGGGGGUCGCGGCCGAUUAGUUAGUUGGCGGGGUAAUGGCCCACCAAGACUAUGAUCGGUAUCCGGCCUGAGAGGGCGCACGGACACACUGGAACUGAAACACGGUCCAGACUCCUACGGGAGGCAGCAGUGGGGAAUUUUGCGCAAUGGGGGAAACCCUGACGCAGCAACGCCGCGUGGAGGAUGAAGCCCCUUGGGGCCGUAAACUCCUUUCGAUCGGGACGAUAAUGACGGUACGAGAGAAGAAGCCCCGGCUAACUUCGCGCCAGCAGCCGC